UGGGGAAUAUUGGACAAUGGGGGGAACCCUGAUCCAGCCAUGCCGCGUGCGUGAAGAAGGCCUUAUGGUUGUAAAGCACUUUAAGCGAGGAGGAGGCUACUGAGACUAAUACUCUUGGGUAGUGGACGUUACUCGCAGAAUAAGCACCGGCUAACUCUGUGCCAGCAGCCGCGGUAAUACAGAGGGUGCGAGCGUUAAUCGGAUUUACUGGGCGUAAAGCGUGCGUAGGCGGCUUUUUAAGUCGGAUGUGAAAUCCCCGAGCUUAACUUGGGAAUUGCAUUCGAUACUGGGAAGCUAGAGUAUGGGAGAGGAUGGUAGAAUUCCAGGUGUAGCGGUGAAAUGCGUAGAGAUCUGGAGGAAUACCGAUGGCGAAGGCAGCCAUCUGGCCUAAUACUGACGCUGAGGUACGAAAAGCAUGGGGAGCAAACAGGAUUAGAUACCCUGGUAGUCCAUGCCGUAAACGAUGUCUACUAGCCGUUGGGGCCUUUGAGGCUUUAGUGGCGCAGCUAACGCGAUAAGUAGACCGCCUGGGGAGUACGGUCGCAAGACUAAAAACUCAAAGGAAUUGACGGGGGUCAUAGCUGUUUCCUG
RNAcentral lists this ribosomal RNA (591 nucleotides) under uncultured bacterium. RNAcentral describes it as "partial 16S ribosomal RNA". It matches the Rfam family "Bacterial small subunit ribosomal RNA", at positions 355 to 941 of the family's 1533-position model. The record is from RNAcentral.